UGUAUGAAACUUUAGUGGCCCUUCCCCACUAUUAAAGUUGCCCACCCCUGUGAUUGACCCAAAAUAACUCUGGAUCAAACCAUUUAAACUGAUACCCCCACAAUACCCCUGCAUAUCUGGAUCAAACCGUUUAAACUGAUACUCAAUAUAAGAGUCUCUUACCUCCCCACAUCAUCUGCUCCACUUUUAUACUAUCAACGUCUUCUCUCUCUUGCUGGACUUUUCUAGAAAAACAAGAACAGGAAUGUAAGGUGGAUUUAUAGAUGCUGUGUUUAAUAAUCUUGGAUAAAUCCUUACCUUUUCUCAACACACACACACACACACACACACACACACACACACACACACACACACACACACACACACACACACACACACACACACACACACACACACACACACACACA
Molecule: long non-coding RNA, 407 nt
Organism: Gadus macrocephalus (Pacific cod)
Lineage: Eukaryota; Metazoa; Chordata; Actinopteri; Gadiformes; Gadidae
Exons: 2
Source: RefSeq, a predicted model, not a curated record